GUGUUAAAAUUUUUUAUAUUACUUUUUAUAUAAAAAAAUAUAAUACAUCAAAUACACUUAAAACAUUAAAAUAAAUAUAUUCUAACAAAUUGAAAAUAUAUCAAAAAAAUAUUUAUACUUAAAUAACACUAUGAUAGUCAUAACUUAUCAAGGAAAUAUCUCUAAACUAUUAACAAAAAUAACAAUAAAACAAUAUUUAUACAAUACCCAAAUAAUAAUGAAAAAAUAGUGGCAACAUGACAGCAAAAUAACAUCAAAAUAGCAGCAAACGAUAACAAACGACAAUAAAAAAAUUAGGCGCAUUCAGGUUGGGCCAAGUAUAGUCCGAGCCAAAGAAAUCUUUCUCAUUUUUUGAACUUACAUUUUUUAUCCAAAUUUUUUAUUUUUCGAAUUUUAUUUUAAGUCUGAACGGGUGACCCAGCCUCUAGAAGCGGCAAGUGUAGAGCUUGAUUCAAGUAGGACAGCUUGUUAGAUACAAGUCCAUACUUGCUUUAUUUUGGCUACCGUAAUUUGUGGUGGAUUUAUGAUGGGCUUAUGCAUACCUAAAUUAUGCACCGUUUUCUUUGAACAGUAAAACUUGUUUAUUAAAAGCAAAAAAAAAAAAAAAACCUAAUAAGUUGUAGACUAUAAUUCAACUUGUGUUUUGAAAAUUGUGGUAAUCUCCACAGUCCGAAUUUCCCGACAAAUUUGGCACAAAAUUCGAAAUACAAGCUUGGUUAAAAUUUGCUGCUAGUCCUUGUAUUUGUAUAAAAUUUGAGAUUUGAUUUUUAUACUUUAAAUUUUAAAAAUUUAAUCCUUCUACUUUUUUCAAUUUUAAAAUUCUAGUCCAAUUAUUAUUUUCAUUGGUAGUUUAUAUCAAAAAUUGUUAAUUUAAAGCAUUUUUUUGUCAAUCAUAUACCAUGUCAUAUGAGGAGAACCUAAUCAAAAUUUUAAGUUAAUAAACUUUGGCAACAUGAUUUUAAUGACUAAAUUGAGAUUAUUAAAUAAAAGAAAGUAGAAAGACUUAAAUUUUAAAAUUUUAAGUAUAAAAGUUAAAUUUCAAAUUUUGUUAAAUCACAAUAACUAACACCAUAUUUAAACCUAAAAAGUUAUUCAAACAUCAAUGCCUUCUGUUAAAAGUUUUCAUAAAACCAACAUACAACUAACCAAGGGCGAAUAAAAAGGGGUAGGCGGGGUCCCUAGUUUCCAAAAAUGACAAUUGCAAUUUUGCUCCUUAUAAAUUAUUAAAUUAUAAAUUUCCAUAUGAUAAAAUUUUACUUUGUCCCCUCAAAAAUAAAAGAAUAUGUUUAGUCCUUUUAAAAAAUGAUGAAGUUAUAAAGUAACAUAAGAUAAAUUUAUAUUUUGACCUCUAAAAAAUUUAUAAUUCAAUUUUGACCAGUCCUAAAACUUUUUCUAGAUUCGCCCUUGCAACUAACAGUUUUCUUUCAAAAAUGAAAACUACUUUAAAGUAUUUUUUUUAUGUCAUGAGAAUGCAAUAUGCCAAACACAAGUGUAACACCCCUUACCCGUAUUCGAUGCUGAAAUAGGAUACGAGGUAUUACCAGAACACAUAUACUUUUAACCAUAUUAAACCGAGUUGUAAAAUUUCAUCUAAACUAAAACUUUCAAAUUGUUAUUCUUGAUUUGCUAAUUAGGGUUUACGUGGCCCAAUAUACUCACAAUCUUUCACUUCCUCGUCAUAUGAAUUUAUAAAUUUCCACUUAUUUGUUGAAUUCAUCACGAGUACCUGAGUUGAUUCGUUUCAUUACAUAUUCUCAUGUCGUCACAUUUUCCUAUUUAACUAUUGUAAUAUAUCAAUUACUCAAUAUCUCAUAAGCUAAGUGUCACAUAUACAUUAUCCAUUCAUCUCCCAUACAACUAUCAAUAUUAGCCACAAAGAUAUUACAAAUUUUCUCUAUUCGAUGUUAAACCAAAACGUGUUACUUCAUUACCAACUAACCUUACUAAAUAUACACCUUAUACUAGCCCAAGUGUUUAACCAUUCACCCAUGACAUAAAUAUAUUUUAUCUAUUAUUGCGGAAUAUAGAUGUGCUACCCAAAUCAUAAUUCACCUCGCAUAGUAACCGAGUUAAUUUUUAUCAUGUGUCAAAUAAAUUACAAAACAAGUUAUAUAACAAAAUAUAGAUACAUUUGAAACCUCACCAAUAAACAAAUUCUCAUGGCAUUAAAUAAUCAUCACGUAUUAAAGACAAACGUACUUGACAUUUCCAUCACAUAAACCGAAUUAAUCAGUGCAACCUCAGUGAUGUAAUCAUUCUUUUAACUUACUUAACCAAGCCAAAUUAUACCAUCAUCUCACACAUAGAAUGACCCACCUAUCAUACUUCUCAAUUAUGUCACUUAAUAGACCAAGUAUACCUAACAUUUAUCAUCAUGAUCAAUCCACAACCAAAAUACAUCCAUAUAUCAAAAUUACUACACACACACAUAUAUAUACCAUGACUAAAUUUCUUAAACAUUUGAUCAAUUGCUUUUCAAUACCGCAAUAAUUCUUUCAAUACCAAUACGUAUUUACCAUUCAAUUUACCAUUGACCGAUUAUAAUCGGGCAUAUAACCAUUUAUACACAAUUCAUUCAUAUAUUUUAUUGUCCUCCUCCUCUUCAUUUCACAUCCUUAAUGUAUAUAACACGCUUAAUAACAUUAUACAUAAUUUCAUUACUCACUUAUAUGUAAAUUUAAAGCUGCCCAUCUGAGUCAGAGUCACUAAAUUAUUUUAUUCUGGAGCUACGGAGCUCCAAAUUAAAAUCCGUUAAUUUUACCUAAAACUAGAUUCAUAUAUAUUUUUACCAUAAAAAUUUCAGAAUAUUUAACUUAGCCAAUAAGUACAGUUUAUUCUUUAAAGUUUCCCUUGUUGCACUGCUCGACAGUUCUGACCUCUCUUCACUAAAAAUUAAUUAUCUCAUUGUACAGAAUUCGGAUGGUAUUCCUGUUUAUUUCUCAUGAAAAUAGACUCGUUCAGAAUUCUAAAAAUAUAAAGUUUAACCCAUAAUUAAUUUUCUACAAUUUUUAAUGAUUUUCCAAAGUCAGAACAGGAGAUUCUGAAAUUAUUCUAACUCUGCCUCACAAAAUUUAUUAUAUUUCAUGACUUACAAUUUCAUUGCUUACACCGUUUCUUCUAUGAGAAACUAGACUCAAUAAGCUUUAAUUUCAUAUUUUACUCAUCUUCUAAUUCGAUUCCCACGAUUUUUGGUGAUUUUUCAAAGUUGGUACACUGCUGCUGCCCAAAACUAUUUUAGUGCAAUAUAUUGAUUACCAUUUUGACCCUAAACUUUUAACACAUGACAAUUUCAUCCCUAGGCUCGGAAAAUGAAAUUCUUGUAAUUUAAUCAUUGAUCCAAGCAUAAUAAUUCUCAUAAAUAUCAAUAAAAGCCCAUGGAUUCCAUGAAAUUUCAGAAUUUUUCCACAAUUUCAAUACUUUUCAACUUAAUCCCUAAAACAUGUUUUCAUCCAAAAUUCUUUAAUAAAACACCUUUAAACAUCCAUUAACAUAUCAAUUUCAUCAUCAAAUAACAAAAAUAAUAUGAAGUUAUCAAUGGUAUCUUCCUAAACUUUCAAAAAAAUGAGAAACUAGUAGAAUACUAAGUUGGACCUAAUUGUAAAAGUUUAAAAAUAUAAAAAUUUCAAGGAAAAAGUAAGAAUUACACUUACUUGAAGCUAAAAUAUGGAAGACCAGCUCUAAACCCUCUUCCAUGACUGUUUCUCACCGAAAUUUCAAGAAGAAAUGGUCUUAAAAUCCUUAAAAUAAAUUUUGGCCACAUAAACUUUAUUGUAAUUCCAAUUUUGUCCUUAAAUACAUAAAAAUCUUUGAUUUUUUUAACGGUAUGCCGUCUCUGCCACUUAAGUUGGUCCAUUUACUCUUUUAGUCAUUUCUUAUUUAAUUGUUAAGUUAUUUAAUCACUUUAGCAAGUUUUGCAUCUUUUCAAUUUAGUUCUUUUUAAUUAAUUGACUGCCGAAACGUUAAAAUUUUCUGACUAAACUUUAACACUACCAUAUUGACACUCCGUAAAUAUUUAUAAAAAUAUUUACAGCUCGAUUUAUAACAUCGAGGUCUCGAUACCUCUUUUCCUCAAUUCCUUGACUUAAUAAAUUUUUAUAAAACACAAAUUACUAAUUCAAAAAAUCUCUUAAAAAUCAUAUUUGACUCGUAAUUAUUAAAUAAUAAAAUUUACUAGCUUAUUUUCUGAAUUUGGUGGUCUCGUACCACUAUUUUCAACAUUUCUAAAAAUCGGGCUAUUACAACAAGAUUUUCAAUAUUUACAAUAACAACAAGAUUUCUAAAUUGCAAUGCGAAAUUUUUAAUGAAUAUUUAAGAAAUUCAAGAUUUUAAAAAUAAAAAUUCUAAUUUCUUCAAGGAUUUGUAUUAAUCAACCCCUAAAUAUUAUUUCUCAAUCAAGAUGCUAGAAAUCUCAUACAAAAUCAAUAUAAUUAAAGCACUAAAAAAUAUAAUCUUACAUAAAAAUCCUAAUCAAACACAAGCAAGGUCAUAAUCUUAUAUUUUUAGAGAUUAAUCAAUAAAUUUUUAGAGAUCAACCUAAGAGUAUUUGAAAGAUUAAUCACCUAUGGAUAGCGUUUGUUAUGAUGGAAAGUGAUAACUUUUCUGGGAAUUUAAUUAGUUGAAAAGUAAUUCUAACGUUGGUAUGUCAAGGUUUUUUUUACUUUGUUUAGAAUCUAACUUUCCCAUUAACAUGACAAUGUGGUUCCCAUGAUAAAAAGCAAAAAAAUUAAAAAAAAUGCUAAAGAUGAUAUUAACUUCUUCUUCUUUUGGGUCUAGGGUAUUAAUCUAUUAAAUGUAAAAAAAAAUAUCUCUUUUCCGCUACCAACUCUAUUGUCAUUUCAACCGAUUCGUACAAAGUAAGUUUUUUUUUCCUAAUUUUAUUUUCAAUAGGCAUAUUUAGGGUGGGUUUGGAUGGGCGGUGAGUUUACCUGCGGUCAGUGUAAAAACAGCGGUGGCGGUAAGAUUAGAUACUGUAGCGUGAGACAAAAAGUAAACUAAACGUACCGCACCGUACCCAAUCGCCCAUCCAAACCCACCCUUAAUCCUCUACUAGUAUAUUGUUUGCAUAUUAUAUUUAUUUUCUAUUAUUUUCCUCUUUUUUCUUUUCGUAUUUUGAUUGAAGUUUCAAUUUUAUCAUAGUAUUUAUUCUAAAAAAAGUUUUAUAUAUGUAGGAUUUUGUAUAAGCUUUGUUAUAUUUAGAAAAUACAUGCAAGAUAAAUUUGAAAUAGGUUUUUUUAAUUAAAAUUAUAAAUUAAAACAAUAAUAUUAAAAACUAUCAUUUAAAAUAUUAUUAUUAAAUAUUUAAUCUAAGAUUUAUUACUAAUAAAGUUUAUUGUAAGAUAUUAAAAUAUUAAAUACAUGAAUAUAAUUUUUUAUUUAAUAAGAUUAAAUUUAUAAAUUUUCAUUUCAGUCCCAAGAAAAUAUUUAGUGAACUAAAGGAGAUAAUGUGAUUUUUCAAAUAUUUUAAUGAAUACUUCAAAUAGAAUUUUCAAUAAAGGGAAUUGAAAGAUUGAAUUGUUUUGGUAUUUCCCAGAAUUAAUUAGGUUUCAAUUUCAGGUGUAGAUAAUAAUCAAAGUGUAAAAAAAAUGAAUGAGUAAAAGCUCCAUUGAUGAAUCUUUCUCAUAAAACAAACAUGACCAACAAUAAGCAACCUGCUUUCAUCAUAAUAUCAAAAUAUAGUUGAAUUAUCAUAUCAAUUGCAUGUUCUCUAACUUCUUAACCAAUGAAUUCCUACCCAUGUCUAAUGAAAAAAAAUAGCACUAAAUUAACCACUAAUUUCAUCAUACCAGAGAUUUGAUUGAUCUUUCGCAGAAAAAAAAAAUAGACAUCAAUGGAGCAAAAAGGCAAACAUAAAGAAGAAACAUUUUUGCAGCACCCAGUUUUGUUCAUCGUUGUGUUGGUUUUCGGUUUCGUUUUGAUGGAUCCUUUCGAAAUCGGUCCGGUCGGUGGGAUCGAGUUUAGGCCUGUGAAACAUGACAUUGCACCAUACAAGGAAGUGAUGGCAAGUUGGCCAAGAGACAAUAAAAGCCGGUUGGGAAAUGGGAAACUCGAGUUUGUCGACGAAGUUUUCGGUCCCGAAUCGUUGGAGUUUGAUGGAUUCGGUCGUGGACCUUACACUGGAUUAGCCGAUGGGCGUAUUGUUCGAUGGAUGGGUGAGGAUAUCGGAUGGGAGACAUUUGCCAUUGUUACAUCAAACUGGUGAGCUUCUUUCAAUCAUUUUGUUUAGAACUUUGAUGGAAAUGAAAAUCUACGGAUCUUUGUUGCUCGGAUUCUUCAUUUUUCGAGUCUGAGCAACAUAUGGUCGGAUAGAUGAUAAGAUAUAACCUUAAUGCUAAUUUGUGGUGAACAUGUACAUAAAAAAAAUAAAGGUCAGAGAAGUUAUGUGCUAGAGGUGUGGACUCAACAACAUCAAAGCAAUGGAAACAUGAGAAAUGGUGUGGUAGACCAUUAGGCCUAAGGUUCAACAAAGACGGUGGAGAUUUGUACAUUGCUGAUGCCUAUUACGGAUUGCUCGUGGUUGGACCGGGAGGCGGACUCGCCACACCAUUAGCGACUCAUGUCGAAAGGAAGCAAAUACUGUUUGCUAAUGAUCUGGAUAUCCAUAAAAAUGGUUCAAUCUUUUUUACUGACACUAGUAGAAAGUACAAUAGAGUGUAAGUGAACCAAAUUCUUAAACAUAUAUAUACACACAUGCAUACAUAUUAUAUAUAUAUACAAUGAAGGGUUACUUACAGAAGAUUAUUGAGCAGGUAUCAUUUCUUCAUAUUGUUAGAAGGCGAAACGACCGGAAGGAUUCUCAGAUAUGAUCCUCCAACAAAGACAACUCAUGUAGUUUUGGAUGGUUUAGCUUUUCCAAAUGGAAUUCAGUUAUCUAAGGACCAGAGUUUCCUUUUAUUCACUGAGACUAGCAAUUGCAGGCAUUUCCCAUUUUCAUUUUUCCGCUCUUUCAAGUUUUUAUUUCUUUUCUUUUUUGGAUACAAAUGAGACCCUAAUCUUAAAAUAAAGAAAAGAUUGCAAAUGUUAAGAUUUGAAUCUUAAAACUACUUGCAUACCCAUUGAAUGCAUUUUGAUACUGAUUUUUGCCAUGGUGACAGGCUAAUGAAAUACUGGGUUGAAGGUCCAAGAGCAGGGACAACGGAACUGGUUGCACAUUUGCCUGGUUUUCCAGACAACGUAAGAAUAAACGACAGAGGUCAAUUCUGGGUAGCCAUAGAUUGUUGUAGAACACAAGCACAAGAGAUCCUGGUUCAUAACCCAUGGAUGAGGAGUUUAUACUUCAGAUUACCCAUUAAAAUGAAGAUUUUAGCAAGAAUUAUGGGGAUGAAGAUGUACACCGUAAUCUCGCUUUUCGACGAAAAUGGAGAAAUUGUCGAAGUCCUUGAAGAUCGAAAAGGUGUGGUGAUGAAGUUGGUGAGUGAAGUUAGAGAAGUUGAAGGGAAACUGUGGAUUGGAACUGUGGCUCAUAAUCACAUUGCGACUUUGUCUUACCCUUAAAAUCUCUUUCAUCUCAUUUUACAUGCCAUUUCUCUUAUAUAUUAUGUUUGUCUUAAACUCUUAUAACUAUGUGUUCUAUAGCCAUCUUUUCCUUCGAUUAUGAACUUUUUAAUCCCUGUUUUUCUCUAGUUUUAUCAAUGAAUUUCCAGCAAUGCUAAGAAAACCGGAUUAAAGAUCAAUGAAUUUCAAUCAAUUGGUUUAAUGUUAGAGAUGCACAUUAUCAACUUUGAUUCAAAAAAAUAUGAAUUGGGUUCAAUGUAAUUUGUUCAAAGUUCAAACUAGCCCGUUUUCUUUACUCCGGUAAGGCAGAUGGGCAACUAAACAAUGUUGUCAAACACUUACAAGACAAGCUUAAACAAUACUACAAUAGUCAUAAAAACUAGACAUAAACAAAAGCAUUGUGCCCUGCAAAAUUCAUAUAGGAACUUUGUAAGCAUCAUAUGCGAAUAAAGCUCGCACGACAAGUUCUUCCCUAUCUAACGCCUCAACAGCAGCUCGGCCCUUCAAACUAGCGAUGAAAGCAAAUGUAACAGAUCAAAAUCGGAUAAUUCCAGAAAAAGAUAUAUUGGAUGAUUAUAUAUACCUAGAAAUAAAUGUUAUAUAGAAAUACCUAGAGAGAUAAAAGAGAUGUGAAAGAAGAAAUGUCCUAUCUAACAAUGGACUGUUAACCAAAAUUUGGAACCAAUUGUGAAGAGCCAUGAAUUCCUGGCCCUACGGACCUUUAACUCCUCAAUCAUUUGAUGCCGUUGAGCUGACACCUGAUGAAGAUGGACCAUCUCUUCGGUUGGGGGAAGGCAUGGAUCCUCUAACUCUCAUCUCCCCUGCUUGCUGUUGGAGCUCUUGUUGCAGCUGAAGUUGCUGCUGAAGUUGAUGCAGUUGAUGCGGUGGGAACUGAUGCUGAUGCUUUUGCAAUUGAAUCUGUAGUUGCUGGAACUGCUGGGCCGUUAGAAGAGCCUGCAUAGCAUGAUUAUUUGGGAUGUAUUGCUGACUAGCUCCAAAAGAUGCAAAGUUCAUCAUUGGUCCACCAUUUGGCAUAGGUUGGGCAGUCAGCACCUUCAGAUGUUGGAUUUCUUCUUUCAGUGCAUCGUUCAAUGCUAUCAGAUAACAGAAGACAAAAAAAUCAUCAUAAUAUGGACAACAAUAAGAGCAGCUCAAAACAUUAACAAGGUGCUCAUAGUAGAACAAAUGGCGUUAUAUUCCCAACUAAUAUGCAACCCAAAAGUAGAAAACCUACUUUAAGAACCAUUCCAUUACAUGGACAGUCUGAGGUACUGUAAGUGUAAAAUGGAUAUUAACAAGCAGUCCGCAAAAGGUGUAACCUACCAUAACAUCAGUUAUAAUAUGAAUAUCCAAGGGAAAUAAUGUAUUGGGGUAUUUGCAAUAAAUACUCUUUAUACGUCAUCACUGCACUUGAAUUGAUUCAUCAAGAAAGACUAACAAGCAGACCUCUCAGUCCCUCUCUUCCCUCAUACAUAUGGCUUCAUUACUAUUAAAUAUCUAUGAUGGUAAGUAUAUGUAAAGAACACACAUCCAAUGUGUUGUGGAUUCAGUCUAUUUUUUCUCUCUUUGACUGCCCAUCUGCUAAAAUUCUCACGCGCAAAACCUUUCAAAUCCCUUUCCCUUAUAAGGAGGAUCAUAGACAAAAACAAUAAGGAAAGAAAAGGCAGUAAGACAAAGAUUUAGGUAUUUGAACAAAAUAUUUUGAGAGGUGCUCACAAUCUUGCAAGUAAACCUGUUGCUCCAUUGUUUGUAACCGCAGUUUCAACUCACUAUUUUCAGCACUCAUACCACUGGAGUCUCUCUGCUCAUAAGUUACCAUGAGAAGAGUCAAAUGAACCAUUAGAUAAAAAGACAUAAAAGUAAAAAAGAAAAGAAAAUGAAGGUCCAAUGGAAUAUAUAUAUACAUAUUUAUAACCAAUGGAACCCUUGAAUGUGGAAAACAUUUAGCAAAGACACGAAGAGAGGGGCCAGAGCUGAUGCAAAUACCUGUAGUAGAGUCAGCUGAGCAGCGAGCGACGUUGCUUCUGUUUGCAAUGUCUGUAUUUUCCGUUCAAGCUCAGCUAUAUACCGCAUCUUUCUUUCCUUUGACCUCGCAGCAGACUGCCUAUUCGCCCAGAUCCUAUUGCAUAGCAAAGACAAAAAAACAUAUCAGGAUAACAACAUACAUUUCAGUUCUGGAAGAGAUGAAAUCUAUAGAAAGGUAGAGGUUCCUUAAACCAGAGGGGAAGAAAAGUAACGGAAGGGGAACAGGAGGAGAAUUAUCAAGAAACACGAACACAGGAAGAUAAAAGAUAUCAACUAUAACAUAUGAAACUACACUAGUUUCAAGUUAAAACAUUGUCUCAUAGUGAUCUCCGCCACACAUCUUUAUAGAAACGGUUUCGAGUUAAAUCAUAGUCUCAUAGUGAUCUCCGCCACCAUAUCUUUAUCGAAACGGUUCCAAUUUAAAACAUAAUCUCAUAGUGAUCUCCGCCACCACAUCUUUAUUGAAACGGUUUCAAGUUAAAACACAUCUUUAUCGAAACGGUUUCAAUUUAAAACAUAGUCUCAUAGUGAUCUCCGCCACCACAUCUUUAUCGAAAUGGUUUCAAGUUAAAACAUGGUCUCAUAGUGAUAUCCGCCACCACAUCUUUAGCGAAACGGUUUCAAUUUAAAACAUACUCAUAGUGAUCUCCGGCUCCGCCACCGCAUCUUUAAAGAAACGGUUCCAAGUUAAAACAUGGUUUCAAUUUAAAACACAUAUUUAUCGAAACGGUUUCAAUUUAAAACAUAGUCUUAUAGUGAUCUCCGCCACCACAUCUUUAUCAAAACAGUUUCAAUUUAAAACAUAGUAUCAUAGUGAUCUCCGCCACCACAUCUUUAUCGAAACGGUUUCAGUUUAAAAUAUAGUCUCAUUGUGAUCUCUGCCACCACAUCUUUAUCAAAAUGGUUUCAACCAGACGACAAAGCACUUAAUGCCAAACUUUAAUAACAACUACGAAGUUAAUGACAUUAUAUGAAGCACAAUUGCUUCAAUAACAGGUAAUACAUUCAUAUUAAUUCUACAUUCAGUCAUGAGUUACAUUAUGCUUUCGUUCCAAAAUAUAGUGACCAAACUCAUUGUCAUCAUUAAACAUUAUUGCCAAAACCCCACAAACUUUCCUUAUAAACGCGAAUUUUUAAGUGAAUUCAUAACAAAAGAAACCGGUAUGGCAGUAAAAUUCCAUUCCCUUAGCAAAUAUAAGAAAUUGAAAUGAAAAACAAGAUACCUCUUAGCACGCUUGGGAUCAAUAAGAGCAAGCUCAGCAAGCUUAGCAGCGGACAUUGCUUUCUUAGAAUCAGCAGGCGUAACCUCAUCCGAACCAGAGAGGAGCAUUUCGGGCUUAAUACUUGUCGACCCAUCCAUCGACUGGCUAUGUUGGUGCCUAAUUCUAGGCUUCUCAGAAGACCCAACACCAACACUCGCAUUUUCCUCACCGGACGUUGCCGUCCCUGCUCCCAUACUCACCGCAGCCGAUGGACCAGAAUUUGGAGCAGUCGUUGUCAACGACUUGCCAACCUGAAACAUUGAGGUGACGGAAGAAGAAUUGAACUUAUCGAUAUCGAGAUACAUAGACAACAUAUCGUCCUCCGUUUCAUCGGAAUAGGAAGGCCCGUCGGCUGCCCCAACGACGCCGAGAUCACCGUCGAAGUUAAUAUCAUCAGGAAGAGUUAUGAUUUCGGAAUGGGCACGGCGGUGACCUAAAUUCUUCGGUGGAUUAUCAGGCAUUUUGCUUAUAUCGUGACUAAAACUAUUCGAAUCCGAAGUUUGACCAAAAUUUCCCGUUUCAGAUAUCGCAUUUGAAGUGCUUGCAGCAUUUCCGGAAGAUGAAAACCCCGGAACUCGACCUGACAUUGGCGGUAAACAUGGAGAUUUAUCCUUUUCCAUUUUAGGAAAAAUAUGAACUUGAAAUUCCGAAAAGGAAUAAAGAAAACCCAAUGGAGACGACUUUCACAAAGUAAUUACGUAGAAAGGAAAACCAAACUGGGAAUUCGGUGAAGAAAAUGGAAAACAACAGCAAAGAAAGAAGAUUUUCCGGGAAAAUGGAAUGGAUUUUCAGGGACAAGGAAAUCUAACAGUAGAUCUUCAAAUUAAAAAAAAAAAAGAGAAAGAUGGAAACAACCCACUAAGGAAAAUAGGAAAUGGGAAGGAAAGGAAAAGAGGAAUCGGGGAAAGCCAUUGUCAUCAUGAAUGAGGAGAACAGAAUCGAAUCAAGGAAAUCACAUGGUGGGAAAUGUUUUUCCAGAGAAAAGAGAAUGAGAAAUCUGAGACAGUGCUAUUUUAUAUAAAAUGAACAUAAAAGGGAGAUUUUUUUUUAUAUAUAUAUAGAAUAAGGGAAUUAUUAUAUGGAUUUUGACUAAAUUACAAAAUAAUACCUAUAGGCCGAUUUUUUGAAAAAUUAUUCUAAUGGGCCGUUUUUGCUAAAACACUUUCAGUUGAUGUUGUUUUCAGGGAAAGCUGAGAAAAACGCUUCUAGCGGGAAGUGAUUUUCUUCACUAACCAGUAAAGCGCUUCUAGCUCAGCGCGCUAAGUAAAAACGUGUCCAGUUCAACAUGUUCCCCUAACAAUCACUUUCAAUGGCUAUUUAAAUAGUCGUUGCCCCUCAACGGUAAAAAAAGAAAAAAACUAUAAACCCCCACAUUUCUCACAUUCUCUCUUAAUUUUUUUACUAAAAUUUUAUUUCUAUCUAAAUUCUAUUUUCUAUUAAUAUUUUCAAGAAAUAUUUUUUAUUAAAAAUUAUUUCGUGUUCUAUAUAAUUUAGUAAUGGUCAGGUCUCUAAUCUGUCUUGAUAACAAGCACAUCUCCAUCAACCAAUUGAAAAUGAUAAGAAUAAAUUUUAAUCUUGUUUAGUUCUUUUAUUUCAUUGUUAUAUUUUAACUUAAUAUUUUUUAUAAUUUUUACGUAAAUAGGCAGAAGAUCGAAUUUUACAAUGCCAUAUUCGUAAUUUACCCGGUCCUCCAUCACCGUUGGCCGAACCAUACUUGAAGGAAACUGAUUUUUGGCACGUGGCCCUUGUAGGCAAGGGGUGUAAGCUGGACCCGAAACUCAUAAGCGCGUUGGUGGAGAGGUGGAGACCCGAGACGCACACAUUCCGUCUUCCAUGUAGCGAGUGUACUAUCACUCUAGAAGACAUUCAUUUACAGUUGGGGUUACCCGUGGAAGGGUCGGUAGUCAUCGGGUUUGUUCAGUCUGCUGAUUGGGGAGCCAUAUGUGGUGAACUUUUGGGUACGGCUCCAAAGACGAUUUAUAGAGGUUGGAUCGAAAUGGCUUGGAUACGAAAAAUUUCCAUGGAGCUGGUUGAGGAUUCGAUUAAAGUCCAAAUAGAACGAUAUGCUCGGGCGUACAUCCUUCAGAUCAUCGGGGGUAUCCUGAUGCCGGAUGAGUCACGAAAUCUCGCCCAUCUCAGGUGGCUGUUGAAACUCGUCGAUUUUAGAGCAAUAGGUGAACUCAGUUGGGGGUUCGCUGUGUUGGCGACAUUGUACCAAGAGAUGUGUCGGGCGACGCAACCAGGAAAAAUAAAAAUUGGUGGUUGCCUUUUACUACUACAAUCAUGGGUUUGAUUCCGAUUUCCAUUUUUACAUCUUCGAGUGAACUACUCGUAUAUAUUUUCACUCGUAAUAAGGUAAAAUUUAGUAGAUAUUACCAUGAUUAAAUUGAUUUAAAUUAAAAUUAUUAUGCUAAUAAGUUAUUUAAAUAGGUGGAACCAUGCGCUAAGUCACGUGGGAUUACCUACUGAGCUUCAAGAUAUACGGCUUCUAUUAGACCAACGAUCGGAAGCGGAGGUAUGUAUUUAUUUAAUUUUGAACUAUAUACAAAUAACGUAGUCGAUUUCGUAUUUAGUAGUGUAUAUAUAUAACUAAUGUUUUUAUCACGUUUAUAUAGUUUGAAUGGACACCAUACGAGGAUCCAAUAAUUCGAGGAGUAAUCCCCGAGGAAUUCUUAGUGAAUACCAAAGUUUGGCACGUAAAGGUCCCAUUGGUAGUGCACGCUACCGUCGAGAUGCACGAGAUCGAUAGAGUGUUGCGACAGUUCGAAUUUCGACAGUCGAUUCCCGUGGCACCUUAAGACCUUGAUGAUUUGCAUCCUAUCAACUUAUGGUGGCCAGAUGAGAAUUGGUCAGUGUUCCACUCCCCACAUAUCAACAUUUGGAAUAAUCGAUAUGAUUUUUUACCUACUCGCCAACCUAUUAUCGUUCCUGAGUUAGCAUGCGAUCCAGAGUACAUGCUAUGGUUUAGGAUCCAUGGCAAGCCAUAUUUGUACGGAGAAGAGGAGAGGCGACAACAUCCCCAUACAAGUAGGCCACGACGGUCCCUUUUAAAUCCAAAGGCUAGUGAGGUGAGUCCAUCAUCAGCGCUCAUGUAAGAACCGACACCGAUGGCCUCAACAUCAAUGCCCACACCACCCUCCGUUCAGUAUGUACCGUCUUGUUCUAGUGCAUAUUCUAACCCUAUCAUCUUCACACAAGCACCAUAUGUUGCACAUUUUUCUGCUUCUAGUCCUAUGCCAGAUUGGACUGUUGGACAUCCAUCCCCGAUGUUUUACACGCCAGGGCCAUCUACUUUCCCGAUAUGUCAACACCGACGAUGAUGUAUAAGCCAUUUAUGUAUGAGAGUCCACUCGUUAUCCCAUCGAUGUAUGAGACUCAACAUAGUUAUGCUCAUUCGUCGUUUGCGACGCAAACACCUCCGGAAUCUUUGUUAUACCAAGGCGAGUCAUCUUCUCAACCACAUAUUCCUAGAUUUAAGGAUGUACAAUGGCAACUGAGAAAACAAGGAUUGCAAUUGAUCGAAGGCGAAGAAGAGGAGCAACCGAUACCACAACCCUGCCCAGAGGCAGAACCAAGAAGAAAUCCAACGCGUAACCAUUGACCACCCCGAUGUGGCACAGAUUCUAAUCGGUGUAUGCACUGAUUAAUUUUAUCAUUGUAUCAAACAUUUAUAUUGUAUCGAUGAUAUUUAUUAUUAUGUUUUUAGAGGAAUAUUGUUUUCAUUUAACAAAAUGCUAGUUGAUAUUUGUUAUCAUUUUACAAAAUUAACGUUGUAAUUUGUUAUAAUUUCACAAAAUGAAAAGCUAAUAUUUGUUAUCAUUUCACAGAACCGCAUGUUUACAUACUAUAAUGGAAUUGAUAUUUGUUUUCUACUUUGCAUAGUCCUUUUGAUGUGGACAUGAUGACAUUGUAUGGCUCGAGUUCCUACAUUACCUGCAUAAUCUCGUUGGUUUGACCUGUCUCGAAUAUCUAUUUUGUCGCGUAUUCAAGUCGACGUCAGUAAAACAUAAAACUUAACCAUAAAACCCUAAAACCCUAAUAGUAAACCUUAAAACCCCUAAAUUUCAUACAAAGCCCUAAUAAAAACUAUAACGGCCCGAUUUAGACCCUAGUUGGACAGUGGUUUCUGGAUCAAAAAUUUGAGUCAGAAAAAUAUUUUAAUAUUAUUUUUGGUGUCUACAGCAUGUUAAUUUAUAUGUGUGAAAAUUUCGUGUGAAAAUUUUAUCGUUUGUGUGCUCGAUUUUAAAAAAAAAAUACUUAAUUGCGUAAAAUACAAAAGUGGCUAGCUAUUUGUUAAAGUGUUAUAUUGCUAUGGCUGUUAUAAUGUGGGACCCUUAUGUUGAUAUUAUACCAUUGAAAUUAUAAGUGGACUUUUAUGGACAUGGUUAGUUAAUUAUUUAAGUAAUUACAAUAAGGUUAAAAUGGUAAAUGGCUUAUUAAUAUGUAUUAAAUAAAAACAAAACCUGAAUUUAAUGUUUCGUUCAUAUUUCUUUCACCGAAAUAAGAAAAGAAAAAGGGGUUUUAAAGAUUUUGUACAUUCGGCCAUGGUCCAAGCUUGAUUCAAGGUUCGUUUUUGCUCGGUUUUUGAUAAUUUUUACGUUUUUGAGAUCGUUGCUUUGUGUUUUAGCUAGCCCAUGCAUUAAUUUUAUGAAUGGAUUAUGAAUUUGAGAUUUUCCAUUGUUGAUAACUUGAUGAUUUUUGUGUUUGAUGAUGAAAAAUAAAUAUAUAUUGUUAGAUUGUCAAGUUUAAUUAAGUGAUUUUUAGUAAAAAUGCCUAUUUAGGAUUAAAUAGAGAAUUUUGUAAAUUUAAGGGUCAAAAUGUGAAAUAAAUGAAAGGUAUGGACUUAUAUGAACUAUUUGUAUAUUCGGACAAGCAUGGGAAAUAUGAAAUUUUGUGUAUUUUGUGAUUUUAUGAAAUAGGGACUAAAAUGUCAAAAAUGUGAAAUUUUAAGGGCUAAAGUGUAAAAUGCCCUAAUUAUGUGUUUGUGGUUUGAAUUGAAUGAAAUGUGUUAUUAAAUAGCCAAAUUUGAAUUUAUAUAGAUCAAGAAUAAAAGAAAUUGGAAUUAGAUCGGGGAAAGUCGAAAGUGGUCGAGUUGUCGAUUCCAUCCGUUCGUUUCCAUACGAGAUAAGUUUGAAAGUGAAUAAAUGAUGUUAAAUUGUAUGUAUUUAUUUUGUACAUAGUCGAAUAGAAUUGUAAGUAUAUAUAACUACAUUGCCAAAUUGAAUUUAGCAUGGAAUGAUUUAUUAUGAGCUUGAAUCAAUCGAAUUACGAUGUCCGAAAGUCCCGAACGAACCAUAGGAAUAGUUAGGAUACAUAUGUCAUGACAUAGGAUUCCGAUAUGUGAUUUCGUGUAAGACCACGUCUGGGACGUUGGCAUUGAUUUGAGAUUUAUGUGUAAGACCUUGUUUGGGACAGUGGCAUCGAUAUUUGAUUUCGUCUAGGACAUUGGUAUUGUAUGAGCUUUUUGAGCUAUCCGAGUAUCCUUAUUGAUUCCGAAUGGUUUAGCAGGCAAUGUUGAGUUAAGAUCGAAUGUGAAAUCGAGCUAAAUGGUUCAGGUACGUGUGAAGUUAAGUGUUCAUGAAAAUAAGGUAAGUAUAGUACUUGAGAUAAUGAUAUAAUUAUGCAUGUUAAAAGAGUGAUUUAUGUGUAUAUGAGAUAGUUUAUAUUCGGCCAAGUUAAAAUUAUAACGCUAAUGUUUAUUUGAUGAUUUAUUUGCUUAUGACUUACUAAGCUAUCCAAGCUUAUUGUGUGUUUGUAUGUUCGUUGUUUUAUAGAUUUUGAAAGUUGGUUACAAGCUCGAGGAUCGUCAAGGAAGUCCGUCACACUAUCGAUCACUAUUUUGGUAUUUUAAAAGCUUGAAUUAUGAACCUAUGGCAUGUAUAGGCUAAUAUUUGUUUUGGUUGAUUUUGAAAUUGUUUAUAAAGCCAUGCGAAAAUGGCUAGAGAUGAUGCUUAUGUUUAUGCAUUUUCGGUCAUGGUAUAUGUGUGGUGUGUUUGGUAUUUGAGUUCGGUAUGAAGUAAUUAUAUAUAUAUGGCUUAUGAUCAGUUCACUUUGGUAAGCUUGAUAUAUGAUUGAUGGAUGAGUUUUGGUUGUGGUUUGUUAUUGGCUUAUUAUUGGAAUGUAUGAGUUGUAAUUUGAAUCGGUAUGAAAGUGGUAAAAGAUGUGCUUAUGUAUUCAGCUAAUGAUGAGUUAUAUAAAUACUUAUGCUUAUGACAUGGUUUAAUUAUUAAGUUGAUGGUUUCAUGCUUGGUACGAAAUGUGUUGAGUAUAUAGAUGGUGG
Molecule: long non-coding RNA, 17058 nt
Filed under: Gossypium barbadense (sea-island cotton)
Lineage: Eukaryota; Viridiplantae; Streptophyta; Magnoliopsida; Malvales; Malvaceae
Description: long non-coding RNA (GBAR_LNC019555)
Source: RNAcentral